CUGCCUGGGCCCGUCCAGCCUCACCAGAUGCAGGUCAAUGGAUUCCCCCAAGAUUUGCUCACUACUGAAAGCAUGUUUCUGUCCAACCAAGAAGGAAAUGAAUUGAAAUGAUUUCAAUUAUCACAAGAAAGGAGUGGAGUCCUCUUGCCUUACACUUCAGCAUCUGCUGGUUCAACUCACCCAACCUUUCCCCACCAAGUUCAGGGCCGUAGACAUCUAAGGGGGGCUUGGAACGACUCCUGAGCCAUUGUCGGGCCACAUGGGUGCACACAACCACCCCGGAAGAGCGUUCUGUAGGAGGAGCCACUGGAUUAACUCAGGAAGGACAGAAGAAUAUGAAGAAAGGGUGGCGUUAGUCAAACAGUCCACUCACAGGAGAAGAGAAACAGGAACCUCCUUGAGAUCACUGCCAAUAUUGACGAACUGGACACAGCUUGGUGCUUCGCCUGGAGUAACCUCAUAAAGCUUCACACAGACAGGAGGAAAGUCCUACUAUCAGCCUCAUUGUACAGACCACAAAAUUAGGCCUCUGUGACCUUCAAGGAGGUGCCCAGUGACACACAACUAGUGAACAGCAGGAGGGAACCCAAAGUGAGGGAUUUCAGGGCCCUUAUUCUCAUAGAAAUUAAAAAUUAUCAGCCUGGGCUUUGCAGUCUAUUAUCUAUAUAAGAAGAGUCCAUCGUACAUUUGACGGAGCAGGGAAAUUAACGUGGGCCCCUAAAUCACAUCACCACAUUAUCUUUCUCUGCAGAGUCUUCAAAAUCUCUUUUAGAAACCACAGAGCAUGAAAAAUUUCUAGGAAGAGCAUUUUAUUUUCCCCAUCAUAGGACCUGGCAAAUUCUAAUGAUAUUUUACUGGGAAUUAGAUUUGUUAUUUUCCAGAAAGCCAUUACGGCAAUAAUCCAUCCCGGCAUUUUUCACCACUUAAUUCCUACAGGCUCCUGGGCAGGAGUCAUGGCCAGGGCAGAACACCAUGCGAGGAUCUCCUGGACUCCUUCUGGUUGGAGAAGGAAGCCUCCUUUUUUACUGCUGCGAUGGGAAGAAAUGAAUAAACGAGCUAGAAACCAUGGAGCAUCAACUCAGGACUUCCAGAUGACUUAGCCAUUCCUCAGACCUGACUCUGCUUUUCCUCUUGCUGGCAGGGUCUUGCUUCCAUUCCCCAGUGCAGACUGGAAGUGAUAAAGAGGGGAGAUCUAUGCCCGUCUCUUCUCAGUUUAAUUUCUGAGGUCACCAUGCAGAGACUGUGUUGCUUUAUGAGUCAUGGCACAUCAUUUGGAAUGGAGGGAUCAGAAGUGGGUCCACCUUGUUCACAGUGAACAGCCCCAUGAAAGGAGCCAGGUUUUUUAAACUUUGGAACUAUGGGGAUGACACUGUUACCUUAUUUACAAAGAAGCCACCAUCGAAACUAGUGAUACACCACACAAUCGGAGGCCGGGAGGACCAUCCAAAAGCUGUGUCACAUGUCAUGUGUCACACAUGAAGUGCUCAGAGUGCAAUGGAACGUGAAAAGCCACUGGUGACUCCACCACACCUGAUGCAACUGGCUACUGCCUGGGGCUGCUGGAAGGAGAGGCACAUAGUGAUCCAAAUGAGGCGCCAUUAGGACACAGCCUCACCUGUCACUAAAAUGAGAAUUGGGUCCACAUCAGCAGAAGUCAUCAUGAUCAUGGUACAAAUCCUGAGUCCUUCUGCUCCCUCUGCUUACAUGAACUCUCUUUUGGCCUGUAGUAAUUCAGCAAGCUAAAAUGUCAGAAGCAAUAGCUCAGUGAAUGGUUUUACCAGGAGAACUCCCAACACCAGGCAUGAUCAGUGAAGAAAGAGAGGGCUGAUAUAAAGAGGGAAAAAUCCCCCUAGGAAACAGAAUGAGUGGCUGGCCCUUUGCAGCAUUCAGCUUACUCUAACUGGGUCAUCCUUUGUCCAGCUCUAAAACUAUGCUCCUCUGGUCUUCCUGGGAAAGCAGGGUCUUCCACCCAGAUGCCCAGUGUGGCCCCAGCCAUCCCACACCUGCACAUCUUUCAUUACCCUGAAGAUUAUGGACUCUUUCCUAAAUAUGUCUGCUCUACACAACUUCUGUAGUGUCUGGGGCAGUUACUAAAGGCACGGGAUGAUGUCGCUCACCUCUCUAGCAAGCUCUAAGUAUUCCUAUUUCCAGAAAAACAAAGCUCAAACUUCUCUGCACAGCUUCUGCUCUGAUCCCUAAGUGUUGCAUGUCCACAUCCUAUCUUCCACCCUGUUGUCUCAAAUACUUUGGACCUGCGCCAUGGAAAUGCUUCUUGUUCAGCAAACGCACCAUGAUGGGCCAUGGUUCUGACCUCAGCCCUUUCAGAUUCUCCUUGGUGUGACUUCUUUGACAGAAAAUUCAAGUUCAGUCUGCAAGACAAAACCCACAGGCUGCUUUCUCUAUGUGUGCCUGGCUUAUCUGGCUCUAGCUCCUCUCCAGUAGUUUUGGUCUUCACUACAUCGAUGAAGACUGACUCACAGCAAAGUCUUAGUUCAGUGCCCAACCCAUCUGUCCUGACACAUGUCUAGGUCCUGCUGUGGGCCUUGACCCUGCUCCUGGAUCUUGGCUUCCCUGUGUCUCACCCAAUAUUCUUCUCAGACUUUUUCCCAGGACUGCCUUUCUCUUUCAGACACCAGAUGCUGAUGUUCUUUAAGGCCUGCCAGAGGCCACUGGAAAAUAUAUGAUAACUAUUCCUCCCUCUCUUGGAGUUCCGUGGGCUCCCAAGGCUUUCCUGCUUGAUCAUGUAUUAUUACUAAAGUCAAGGGCUUCUGUUUUAGGAACACUGGCUCCUUUUUUUUAAUCAAAUACACAGUCUUGGGGAUUUGUUUUAUUUUUUACAGUACUAGGGACUGAGCCCAGGGCCUUGUGUAUGUAGGCAAGUGCUUUACCACUGGGCUACAGUUGAGUCCUCUAGUCACAUGCCAUGACUCACAGAGCUGCAUGUUCAGCCUGCUUCUCAAUCUCAAACCUUGACAUUCAUGCAUAUGAUGGUUGUCUUGAGACAUGACGAGCAAUGACAGAAAGCCUUCAAACCAAUAUGCUCAAACUCACUUUGUAGUUUCAUCUUCCUACAAUAAUGCCCAAAUCCUUCUUCCAGGGUCAGAGUCCUUUGAAGGUGGCAUGACCACCAAGUUCCUGGCCAUUUGAGAAAAAGAUUACUGCACCUAUGCCUUCCUCAACAUCAACCCUCUAUCUAUGUAAA
Molecule: long non-coding RNA, 3202 nt
Organism: Fukomys damarensis (Damara mole-rat)
Lineage: Eukaryota; Metazoa; Chordata; Mammalia; Rodentia; Bathyergidae
Exons: 2
Source: RefSeq, a predicted model, not a curated record